RNAcentral lists this transfer RNA (97 nucleotides) under Alkalithermobacter paradoxus. Its description in RNAcentral is "[Clostridium] thermoalcaliphilum tRNA-Sec". It matches the Rfam family "Selenocysteine transfer RNA". Lineage: Bacteria; Bacillati; Bacillota; Clostridia; Peptostreptococcales; Tepidibacteraceae. The record is from RNAcentral.
GGGAGUAGAUGGGUGCUGGUGUGCCCUCUGGUCUUCAAAACCAGCGCGGGGGGUUAGGAGCUUCCUGGGUGGGUUCGAUUCCCACAUAUUCCCGCCA